GGGCAAGUUCUACACAACCAGCUCCUGUUUAAUUCCCCCAGGGUGGUAACACAGCAAGGGUAGAUGGUCGUAGCGGUGUGAUGUGGGUCGCUUGCCCUUU
This 100-nucleotide signal recognition particle RNA is filed under the name Flavobacteriaceae bacterium. RNAcentral describes it as "signal recognition particle sRNA small type". It matches the Rfam family "Bacteroidales small SRP". Rfam says of the family: The non-coding component of the signal recognition particle in Bacteroides Lineage: Bacteria; Pseudomonadati; Bacteroidota; Flavobacteriia; Flavobacteriales; Flavobacteriaceae. The record is from RNAcentral.